AGAACGAACGCUGGCGGCAGGCCUCAAACAUGCAAGUCUAGGGGGCGUAGCAAUACGUCACCGGCGGACGGGUGCGUAACACGUGGGAAUGUACUUACUGGUUCGGAACAACUCAGGGAAACUUGAGCUAAUACCGAAUGUGCCCGAAAGGGGAAAGAUUUAUCGCCAGUAAAUCAGCCCGCGUCCGAUUAGCUAGUUGGUGGGGUAAAGGCCCACCAAGGCGACGAUCGGUAGCUGUUCUGAGAGGAAGAUCAGCCACACUGGGACUGAGACACGGCCCCAGACUCCUACGGGAGGCAGCAGUUGGGAAUCUUGGACAAUGGGGAAACCCUGAUCCAGCCAUGCCGCGUGAGUGAUGAAGGCCUUCGGGUUGUAAAACUCUUUCGACGGGGACGAUAAUGACGGUACCCGUAGAAGAAGCUCCGGCUAACUUCGCGCCAGCAGCCGC
RNAcentral lists this ribosomal RNA (448 nucleotides) under uncultured bacterium. RNAcentral's name for it is "SSU rRNA". It matches the Rfam family "Bacterial small subunit ribosomal RNA", at positions 26 to 518 of the family's 1533-position model. The record is from RNAcentral.